AUUGAACGCUGGCGGCAGGCUUAACACAUGCAAGUCGAACGGUAGCAGGAGAAAGCUUGCUUUCUGCCGACGGGGGGGGGACGGGGGGGUAAAUGUUGGUAACUUGGCUUUAGGAAGGGGGUAACUUAGGGAAACCGUAGCCAAUACCGGCUAAUAUUUUUCGAAUUAAGGAUUGGAACUUUAAGCAAUUCCCGAUAAGAUUAGCCCAGUGGGAUUAGGUAGUUGGUGGGGUAAAGGCCUACCAAGCCGACGAUCUCUAGCUGGUCUGAGAGGAUGAACAGCCACACUGGAACUGAGACACGGUCCAGACUCCUACGGGAGGCAGCAGUGGGGAAUAUUGCGCAAUGGGGGCAACCCUGACGCAGCCAUGCCGCGUGAAUGAAGAAGGCCUUCGGGUUGUAAAGUUCUUUCGGUGGUGAGGAAGGAUAAUAUGUUAAUAGCAUAUUAGAUUGACGUUAGCCACAGAAGAAGCACCGGCUAACUCCGUG
Molecule: ribosomal RNA, 488 nt
Filed under: uncultured bacterium
Lineage: Bacteria
Description: partial 16S ribosomal RNA
Rfam family: Bacterial small subunit ribosomal RNA
Source: RNAcentral